GACAGAGGGUGCAAACGUUGUUCGGAAUUACUGGGCGUAAAGGGCUCGUAGGCGGCCAACUAAGUCAGACGUGAAAUCCCUCGGCUUAACCGGGGAACUGCAUCUGAUACUGGAUGGCUUGAGAUUGGGAGAGGGAUGCGGAAUUCCAGGUGUAGCGGUGAAAUGCGUAGAUAUCUGGAGGAACACCGGUGGCGAAGGCGGCAUCCUGGACCAACACUGACGCUGAGGAGCGAAAGCCAGGGGAGCAAACGGG
This 253-nucleotide ribosomal RNA is filed under the name uncultured bacterium. RNAcentral's name for it is "partial 16S ribosomal RNA". It matches the Rfam family "Bacterial small subunit ribosomal RNA", at positions 524 to 776 of the family's 1533-position model. The record is from RNAcentral.